AGCGAACGCUGGCGGCAGGCCUAACACAUGCAAGUCGAACGAACCUUUCGGGGUUAGUGGCGGACGGGUGAGUAACACGUGGGAACGUGCCUUUAGGUUCGGAAUAACUCAGGGAAACUUGUGCUAAUACCGAAUGUGCCCUUCGGGGGAAAGAUUUAUCGCCUUUAGAGCGGCCCGCGUCUGAUUAGCUAGUUGGUUGAGGUAAUGGCUCACCAAGGCGACGAUCAGUAGCUGGUCUGAGAGGAUGAUCAGCCACAUUGGGACUGAGACACGGCCCAAACUGCUACGGGGAGGAGCAGUGGGGAAUCUUGCGCAAGGGGCGAAAGCCUGACGAAGCCAUGCCGCGUGAAUGAUGAAGGUCGUAGGAUUGUAAAAUUCUUUCACCGGGGACGAUAAUGACGGUACCCGGAGAAGAAGCCCCGGCUAACUUCGUG
RNAcentral lists this ribosomal RNA (434 nucleotides) under uncultured bacterium. Its description in RNAcentral is "partial 16S ribosomal RNA". It matches the Rfam family "Bacterial small subunit ribosomal RNA", at positions 29 to 507 of the family's 1533-position model. The record is from RNAcentral.